RNAcentral lists this ribosomal RNA (492 nucleotides) under uncultured bacterium. RNAcentral's name for it is "partial 16S ribosomal RNA". It matches the Rfam family "Bacterial small subunit ribosomal RNA", at positions 29 to 507 of the family's 1533-position model. The record is from RNAcentral.
AGUGAACGCUGGCGGUAGGCCUAACACAUGCAAGUCGAACGGCAGCACAGUAAGAGCUUGCUCUUACGGGUGGCGAGUGGCGGACGGGUGAGGAAUACAUCGGAAUCUACUUUUUCGUGGGGGAUAACGUAGGGAAACUUACGCUAAUACCGCAUACGUCCUACGGGUGAAAGCAGGGGAUCUUCGGACCUUGCGCGAUUGAAUGAGCCGAUGUCGGAUUAGCUAGUUGGCGGGGUAAAGGCCCACCAAGGCGACGAUCCGUAGCUGGUCUGAGAGGAUGAUCAGCCACACUGGAACUGAGACACGGUCCAGACUCCUACGGGAGGCAGCAGUGGGGAAUAUUGGACAAUGGGCGCAAGCCUGAUCCAGCCAUACCGCGUGAGUGAAGAAGGCCUUCGGGUUGUAAAGCCCUGUUGUUGGGAAAGAAAAGCAGCAGGUUAAUACCCCGCUGUUCUGACGGUACCCAAAGAGUAAGCACCGGCUAACUUCGUG